Molecule: non-coding RNA, 3265 nt
Organism: Podarcis lilfordi (Lilford's wall lizard)
Lineage: Eukaryota; Metazoa; Chordata; Lepidosauria; Squamata; Lacertidae
Source: the annotation of a GenBank genome assembly
GCCGGGUUCCCCUCCCCUCGCCCAGCAGGGGCAGGAUCGCGCGCUCCCGGGCGCCUGGUGGAAAGGGAGGCUCCAGCGGCGCUGCGGCGCGGGACAGAUGUGGUGCCCCUUCCAAAAAAACCCCCACAAAAACUACCCCUCAGCGCCCCGAUGAUCCAGAUGUGUGGCAGCUAAGAGGAAGCGCCCCGCGCAAAGCGUGACAGGCUGGUAAAGUUGCGCCGCAGAAGGGAACGGCUUAAAAUGGGGGGCAGAAAUGGAACAAGAGGGGUCUUUCAGGGCUUGUGAAGGGCGCAAUGUUUUCCAUCUAUUGUUUUGUUUUAUUUAAUUGCGUUUAUAACUCACCCUUUUCUCAAAGGAACACAACACAUAGAAUUGUAGAAUUGGAAGGGACCACCAGGAUCAUCAAGUCUACACCCACAUGUGGGACUCGAACCCACGACCCUGUGAUUAAGAGGCUUGUGCUCUACCGACUGAGGAACCCCUCCUCAUGAUCUACCCUGUGAGGUAGGUUAGACUGAGAGACACUGACUGGCAGUGAGCUUGGUGGCCCAGCGGGGAUUUGAACCCUGGUCUCCCAGGUCAUAGUCCCAACACUCUUAACCAUUACACUGCACUGGCCGGUCCCCCCAAAAAGAGGCUGUUAGGGAUUUCUGCUUAAAUGGGCAAUGUGCGUUUUCUUUUCUCCUCCCCGCUUUCACCCAGGUUCUGGGGGUUCCAGGCUAGACCUGAAGUUUCAGGGUUGGAUUUUAACCUCCUUCUGUGCAAAGAGAGUCAAGGGCCAAAAGGUAGGGGUGAAGACUGUUUUCUGCUUGGGAAGAGCUUUUGCUGUUUGCUCCACUCCACAUCCAUCAGGCUGCACCCUUAAAGUACAGAACAGUCUGGCUCUUCCUUUGUCCCCAGGAAAAGCUGCAAGGGACUCUCACUUCCUGUUUCUUGACUGAUUACUCCACCUGAUGUGGACACACCCCUUCAGGGUUCAGAUUGUCCCCUGCCACACAAGCCCCAUGACAAUAUUACUCUCUUCUGUGCUUGCCACUGAGAUGCUUUUGCAUUUGCUGUUGCCUUUUGAGCAGGGCCUUUUUUGUUGUGUCACCCAGCAUGAGAAACUUCCCUGUCCCAGGAAGCUAUGUUGUCUCCUCCUUUGCUUUUGCAGCAAGGAUUAGAAUUUUCUCUUUAGAUUUCUCUUCCGGUGCUAUGGACCGGACAGCUCUCUGUUUCUUCUCCUUCAUUUUGUCCUGUUUUGGGACUUCCAGUGUUUGUGUUAUAUUAAUGUGAAGACAUAAUGAAAGAGUGUCUCCACCCCCAUCAUUCUGCCCGGACACUGAGGUCCAGCUCCAAGGGCCUUCUGGUGGUUCCCUCCCUACGAGAAGUGAAAUUACAGGGAACCAGGCAGAGGGCCUUCUCAGUAGUGGCACCCUCCUGUAGAACACCCUCCUAUCAGAUGUCAAGGAAAUAAACAUCUGACUUUUAGAAGACAUCUGAAGGCAGCCCUGUUUAGGGAAGUUUUAAAUGUUUGAUGUCUUAUCAUGUUUUUAAUAUUCUAUUGUGAGCCACCCAGAGUGGCUGAGGAAACCCAGGCAGAUGGGUGGGCUAUUAAUUAUUAAUUAUUAGUUAUAAUUAUUAAUUAGUAUAAAUAUAAAAGACUGCUUACUAUUGCCAUUAUCCGUGCAUGUUUCAGAAGUCUGCACAGCUCUUCAACUGUUCCUUUUUACUCUGUCAGGAACAGAGACAGCGAUGUGGUGGAAAACUUUGAAUUGAGAAAUUUUCCAAUGCACUAACCACAUUUGUACCAGGCACAAAGACUGCAAAAGAGGAUCAAAGGAAUGCUUCUGAGCUCAUCUGUGAAAAAUCCACACCAAAACCAAAGGGGAAUCAAAAUAAGGAACAUCCAGGAUAUUCUAAAAACUGCAAAACUAUGUUAUUCAGCAUUUAGACAGUUUGAGCAUAAGAAGACCUUGUUGGCUCACGCCAUUGGCCCAUUUAGUCCAGCCUCCUGUUCUUGCAGUGCCCAACCAGACGCCUGCGGGAAACCCCACAAGCAGGACUGAAGCACAAAAAAGGAGGGCCCAACUAUAGGAUGAGUUAGACUACAACUUUGCAUUUAAUGUACAGAUUUUUAAAAAAUACAAAUAUCAGCUUGAGUGGUGGGGAUUAUAAUGACCAGGAUGCUGCAGGGGUACAGUAAUUUAAUCCUUUCCUUUGAGGGAAACCCCUCCUUUGCUGCUGCUGUUUGCUUUGAGAAGAGGACAUCACAUUCCACAAUGUGGAAUGUGAUUAUUAUUAUUAUUAUUAUUAAAUUUGUGUACCACCCCUGAUCCAUAGAUACUAUGCUAUUAACGUUUACUUAUCUGCACGGUUCUUUUGCACCAGUCACUGCUAAGAGAAAUCGAAUUUCAAAUGUUUUUUUUAAAGAAACAAGGUACAAAUAUCAACUCCAGAAUGCAGUUUGCAAAUUGAGUGUGUUUCUACAAAAUAAGAUGCAUUUGCACAAUUCAGAAUUUAUUCAGGAUGUCAGUUUUCUGGGCUUCUUAAUAUCGCAUUUGAGUUUCUCCCGGGAAGACAAACCCGCGGAAGAUAAUUCACUGUUGCAGACUGUGAGUAGUGAAACUGAUUUGUCCUAAUUCUUCCUUCUAAUGAUACAACGCUAGCAACAUCUCCAGCCCUCUGUCGAUUACUUAUAUGAUGUCUGUCAGGAUACAAAUCCUACCAAGGCAGUUGAUAAGUAUCAUUAAAUUAAUGUCCCCAAACCCAACUGUUCUGGACAUCAGUCAUACAAGAAAUAUGCAAAAUAACUAAGCAGGUAUUAGAAGUCACCCCAGAACUGGCCCUACUGAACAUCUUCCAAGAUAAUAAUGCCCACUCACAUUGUAAAGAGCUCAUAACCCACCUACUCUCAGCAGCCAGAAGCAUCAUAGCCGGACACUGGAGAGACCUGUCAGGAGUAAGCAUGAACCGAUGGUAUCGAAUACAGUGGUACCUCUGGUUAAGUACUUAAUUCGUUCCGGAGGUCCGUUCUUAACCUGAAACUGGUCUUAACCUGAAGCACCACUUUAGCUAAUGGGGCCUCCCACUGCCGCUGUGCCACCGCCACUGCACGAUUUCUGUUCUCAUCCUGAAGCAAAGUUCUUAACCCGAGGUACUAUUUCUGGGUUAGUAGAGUCUAACCUGAAGCGUAUGUAACCUGAAGCGUAUGUAACCCAAGGUACCACUCUAGUAUGGGAAACAGCCUUACUAGAAGAGCUAACCAAUAAACUGAAAUUGACAA